UUAAUAGCGGAAGGAGGAGGAGCUUAACAGAUAGUUCUUAUUGGCUGGGAGUGAUACAGGAAGCGGAGACGAGCCAUGCUGUUUCCAGGGCAGUAUGGGAGCUGUAGUCCAAAAGAGUGGAGUGGCAUGGUGAUGAUAUCUGGCAGGUUAUGGUUGCUCACACCUGUGCCCGCCGGUGUUGCCGCUGAGUGGUAUUUGGAAAGAAUCAGAAUCUGAUUGCCCAUCUAUUUUGAAAUGUGCAGAAAUUAUAGUUAGAAUUAAGCUAAGACAUUCCCUUCCUAAAUCUGUAUAAAAACAACCCUACCUUCGUCCACUAGGGGACACAGGGACAGUGGGAAUAGUAUGAAGAGGUAGAUUCUGGGCCCCAGAUACUAAAGGUUUCCCAACAGCCACAGGGUCCCACUCCACUAUACCCCACCCCAACCACUGACCAGCCAGUCUUCGGUUUGGUGCCAGCAGGAGUGGGCACCAUUUUAGCAGGGGAGCUGUAUUAGGUGGUCCCCCUGUUACUUUUAUUAUUUUAUUUCUUAGGUUUCCAGUAACUGAGCAGACAGUGUCAGGUGUCCUAUAGGAUGACCUCACCACCCUUCUCACACCCAUCGCCGGCGGCGGCAGCACCAGCAACUGGGUCAGUGACUUCUACCGCAGGCUGCCUAGGAGGGUUUGCACACAGUGCUCCUAGGAUUAUCCACAGCCGGGCACUUUGGGGAGAUAUGGACAGCUCCCUGGAGACCACCGGCAGUUUUGGUAGUGCAUUCCAGGGAAUCCCACUCUGUCCACUAGAUCACCAGGGCAAUCUUGGUAACAUGGUACAUUGACUCCAGCAUAAUACAGUGCCCUGGGGUCCAUUCCAGGGAAGAGGGGCCGGCUUCCCCUGUUAGCUCCACCCCCGACUACGCUUGAAAAGAGAUUAACAGCCCAUCCCAGGUCCUUCUCUCUCUACUCCCACAAGAAAGCUGGGCAGCCAUUAAUCCACAUUGCUGCCAUAGUACAGAGAGAGAUUUGGGCUUAUGUCUCCACUUGUACCUCACAUAUAUUACACCAUUAUAAAUGGUAUGAAGCAUGGAAUCAUACUACGUAAAACUACUCUCCUUGCACUUGCUUAUUAAUAAACUAAAAUCCUCUUAAA
This is a long non-coding RNA of Pseudophryne corroboree (corroboree frog), 1129 nucleotides long. RefSeq lists it as uncharacterized. The record is from RefSeq and is a predicted model, not a curated record. The transcript has 2 exons. NCBI's taxonomy places the organism in Eukaryota, Metazoa, Chordata, Amphibia, Anura, Myobatrachidae.